CCCCUAGAUGUUCUGGGCCGCACGCGCGCUACACUGAACAGUUCAACAAGUCUUAACCUUGGCCGAUAGGUCUGGGUAAUCUUUGAACGCUGUUCGUGAUUGGGAUAGACCUUUGCAAUUAUGGGUCUUCAACGAGGAAUUCCUAGUAAACGCAAGUCAUCAGCUUGCAUUGAUUACGUCCCUGCCCUUUGUACACACCGCCCGUCGCACCUACCGAUUGAAUGGUCCGGUGAAAUCUCGGGACGGCGGCUUGGUUGCUUGCGUCCGACUGCUGAAACUUGAUUAAACCAUAUCAUUUAGAGGAAGGUGAAGUCGUANCA
This 320-nucleotide ribosomal RNA is filed under the name uncultured eukaryote. RNAcentral describes it as "partial 18S ribosomal RNA". It matches the Rfam family "Eukaryotic small subunit ribosomal RNA", at positions 1470 to 1796 of the family's 1831-position model. The record is from RNAcentral.